Molecule: ribosomal RNA, 181 nt
Filed under: Heyndrickxia coagulans
Lineage: Bacteria; Bacillati; Bacillota; Bacilli; Caryophanales; Bacillaceae
Description: Bacillus coagulans partial 16S ribosomal RNA
Rfam family: Bacterial small subunit ribosomal RNA
Source: RNAcentral
AUGCCGCGGUGAAUACGUUCCCGGGCCUUGUACACACCGCCCGUCACACCACGAGAGUUGUAACACCCGAAGUCGGUGAGGUAACCUUUACGGAGCCAGCCGCCGAAGUGGGACAGAUGAUUGGGGUGAAGUCGUAACAAGGUAGCCGUAUCGGAAGGUGCGGCUGGAUCACCUCCUUUCU